This 1385-nucleotide ribosomal RNA is filed under the name uncultured bacterium. Its description in RNAcentral is "bacterial SSU rRNA". It matches the Rfam family "Bacterial small subunit ribosomal RNA". The record is from RNAcentral.
AGAGUUUGAUCCUGGCUCAGGAUGAACGCUGGCGGCGUGCCUAAUACAUGCAAGUCGAACGCUUCACUUCGGUGAAGAGUGGCGAACGGGUGAGUAAUACAUAAGUAACCUGGCAUCUACAGGGGGAUAACUGAUGGAAACGUCAGCUAAGACCGCAUAGGUGUAGAGAUCGCAUGAACUCUAUAUGAAAAGUGCUACGGGACUGGUAGAUGAUGGACUUAUGGCGCAUUAGCUUGUUGGUAGGGUAACGGCCUACCAAGGCGACGAUGCGUAGCCGACCUGAGAGGGUGACCGGCCACACUGGGACUGAGACACGGCCCAGACUCCUACGGGAGGCAGCAGUAGGGAAUUUUCGGCAAUGGGGGAAACCCUGACCGAGCAACGCCGCGUGAAGGAAGAAGUAAUUCGUUAUGUAAACUUCUGUCAUAGAGGAAGAACGGUGGAUAUAGGGAAUGAUAUCCAAGUGACGGUACUCUAUAAGAAAGCCACGGCUAACUACGUGCCAGCAGCCGCGGUAAUACGUAGGUGGCGAGCGUUAUCCGGAAUUAUUGGGCGUAAAGAGGGAGCAGGCGGCACUAAGGGUCUGUGGCGAAAGAUCGAAGCUUAACUUCGGUAAGCCAUGGAAACCGUAGAGCUAGAGUGUGUGAGAGGAUCGUGGAAUUCCAUGUGUAGCGGUGAAAUGCGUAGAUAUAUGGAGGAACACCAGUGGCGAAGGCGACGAUCUGGCGCAUAACUGACGCUCAGUCCCGAAAGCGUGGGGAGCAAAUAGGAUUAGAUACCCUAGUAGUCCACGCCGUAAACGAUGAGUACUAAGUGUUGGGUGUCAAAGCUCAGUGCUGCAGUUAACGCAAUAAGUACUCCGCCUGAGUAGUACGUUCGCAAGAAUGAAACUCAAAGGAAUUGACGGGGGCCCGCACAAGCGGUGGAGCAUGUGGUUUAAUUCGAAGCAACGCGAAGAACCUUACCAGGUCUUGACAUCGAUCUAAAGGCUCCAGAGAUGGAGAGAUAGCUAUAGAGAAGACAGGUGGUGCAUGGUUGUCGUCAGCUCGUGUCGUGAGAUGUUGGGUUAAGUCCCGCAACGAGCGCAACCCCUAUCCUCAGUAGCCAGCAUUUAAGGUGGGCACUCUGGGGAGACUGCCAGGGAUAACCUGGAGGAAGGCGGGGAUGACGUCAAAUCAUCAUGCCCCUUAUGAUUUGGGCUACACACGUGCUACAAUGGCGUAAACAAAGGGAAGCGAGAUCGUGAGAUGGAGCAAAUCCCAAAAAUAACGUCCCAGUUCGGACUGUAGUCUGCAACCCGACUACACGAAGCUGGAAUCGCUAGUAAUCGCGGAUCAGAAUGCCGCGGUGAAUACGUUCCCGGGUCUUGCACACACCGCCCGUCA